RNAcentral lists this long non-coding RNA (380 nucleotides) under Panax ginseng (ginseng). Its description in RNAcentral is "long non-coding RNA (PGIN_LNC018004)". Lineage: Eukaryota; Viridiplantae; Streptophyta; Magnoliopsida; Apiales; Araliaceae. The record is from RNAcentral.
UUAAUAGUUACCGUACAAUUCAAUCCUUCUACCAUACAAUGUCCCAAUUAAAUAUAAGACAUAGAAUUACUGUCAAGUCUUAUUUUAUUUAAUUAUAUGUAUUUCGAUUCCUAAAUGCACAACUCCUAAUGAAUGAAAAUUAGAAACUACUUUCUAAUUUCAUUCCACAUUGGCCAAGGAUUCUUGGGUUGUCAUUUAUCGAAUCACAUAGGAUAUUUCUCUUCUUUAACUAGAAGUGGUAGAUUCUUUAUUGAUCAUUCACUAUCUUCAUAUAUAACUUAUUACACCCAAGCAUAGCCUUUGAUAUACUCUAAGAGUUUUAAGGAAUAAGUCAAAGUGUAAUUCAGUAUAUAUAAGAUACUAUGAUGAUCUCAAGUCUA